RNAcentral lists this ribosomal RNA (320 nucleotides) under uncultured Prevotella sp. Its description in RNAcentral is "bacterial SSU rRNA". It matches the Rfam family "Bacterial small subunit ribosomal RNA", at positions 28 to 339 of the family's 1533-position model. The record is from RNAcentral. Lineage: Bacteria; Pseudomonadati; Bacteroidota; Bacteroidia; Bacteroidales; Prevotellaceae.
GAUGAACGCUAGCUACAGGCUUAACACAUGCAAGUCGAGGGGCAGCAUGGAGAUUGCUUGCAAUCUUUGAUGGCGACCGGCGCACGGGUGAGUAACGCGUAUCCAACCUGCCUGCAAGUAGGGAAUAGCCCGGAGAAAUUCGGAUUAAUGCCCUAUGUGGCCCUUUGAUGACAUCUGAAGAGGGUUAAAGAUUUAUUGCUUGCGGAUGGGGAUGCGUCCGAUUAGGCAGACGGCGGGGUAACGGCCCACCGUGCCAUCGAUCGGUAGGGGUUCUGAGAGGAAGGUCCCCCACACUGGUACUGAGACACGGACCAGACUCC